GACGUAGGGCGCGAGCGUUGUCCGGAUUUAUUGGGCGUAAAGAGCUCGUAGGCGGUCAGUCGCGUCUGCUAGUGGAAAACUCGGGGCUUAACCCCGGGCCUGCAGUGGGUACGGGCUGACUAGAGUGCGGUAGGGGAGACUGGAAUUCCUGGUGUAGCGGUGAAAUGCGCAGAUAUCAGGAGGAACACCGAUGGCGAAGGCAGCUUACUGGGCCGAUACUGACGCUGAGGAGCGAAAGCGUGGGGAGCGAACAGG
This 255-nucleotide ribosomal RNA is filed under the name uncultured bacterium. RNAcentral describes it as "partial 16S ribosomal RNA". It matches the Rfam family "Bacterial small subunit ribosomal RNA", at positions 524 to 776 of the family's 1533-position model. The record is from RNAcentral.